RNAcentral lists this transfer RNA (77 nucleotides) under Gemmatimonadota bacterium. RNAcentral's name for it is "Gemmatimonadetes bacterium tRNA-Ile". It matches the Rfam family "tRNA". From Rfam's summary of the family: Transfer RNA (tRNA) molecules are approximately 80 nucleotides in length. Their secondary structure includes four short double-helical elements and three loops (D, anti-codon, and T loops). Lineage: Bacteria; Pseudomonadati; Gemmatimonadota. The record is from RNAcentral.
GGGCCUGUAGCUCAGGUGGUUAGAGCGCACGCCUGAUAAGCGUGAGGUCAGUGGUUCAACUCCACACAGGCCCAUCA